AUUGAACGCUGGCGGCAGGCCUAACACAUGCAAGUCGAACGAGUGGCGGACGGGUGAGUAAUGUCUGGGAAACUGCCUGAUGGAGGGGGAUAACUACUGGAAACGGUAGCUAAUCCCGCAUACCAUCGGAUGUGCCCAGACGGGAUUAGCUGGUGGGUGGGGUAAAGGCUCACCUAGGCGACGAUCCCUAGCUGGUCUGAGCGGAGGACCACCCACCUUGGAAUGGAGACACGGUCCAGACUCCUACGGGAGGCAGCAGUGGGGAAUAUUGCACAAUGGGCGCAAGCCUGAUGCGGCAAUGCCGCGUGUAGGAAGAAGGCCUUCGGGUUGUAAAGUACUUUCAGCGGGGAGGCGUUACCCACAGAAGAAGCACCGGCUAACUCCGUGCCAGCAGCCGCGGUAAUUC
This 406-nucleotide ribosomal RNA is filed under the name uncultured bacterium. Its description in RNAcentral is "partial 16S ribosomal RNA". It matches the Rfam family "Bacterial small subunit ribosomal RNA", at positions 30 to 526 of the family's 1533-position model. The record is from RNAcentral.